UACGUAGGGGGCAAGCGUUGUCCGGAUUUAUUGGGCGUAAAGAGCUCGUAGGUGGUUCGGUAAGUCGGAUGUGAAAUCUCCAGGCUCAACCUGGAGGGGUCAUUCGAUACUGCCGUGACUAGAGGUCGGUAGGGGAGAGUGGAAUUCCUGGUGGAGCGGUGAAAUGCGCAGAUAUCAGGAGGAACACCCGUAGCGAAGGCGGCACUCUGGGCCGAUACUGACACUGAGGAGCGAAAGCGUGGGGAGCGAACAGG
RNAcentral lists this ribosomal RNA (254 nucleotides) under uncultured bacterium. RNAcentral's name for it is "partial 16S ribosomal RNA". It matches the Rfam family "Bacterial small subunit ribosomal RNA", at positions 524 to 776 of the family's 1533-position model. The record is from RNAcentral.